CAGUAGCCGCGGGAAUACAGAGGGUGCGAGCGUUAAUCGGAUUUACUGGGCGUAAAGCGUGCGUAGGCGGCUAAUUGAGUCGGAUGUGAAAUCCCCGAGCUUAACUUGGGAAUUGCAUUCGAUACUGGUUAGCUAGAGUGUGGGAGAGGAUGGUAGAAUUCCAGGUGUAGCGGUGAAAUGCGUAGAGAUCUGGAGGAAUACCGAUGGCGAAGGCAGCCAUCUGGCCUAACACUGACGCUGAGGUACGAAAGCAUGGGGAGCAAACAGGAUUAGAUACCCCAGUAGUCCCUGUCUCUUAUAA
RNAcentral lists this ribosomal RNA (301 nucleotides) under uncultured bacterium. Its description in RNAcentral is "partial 16S ribosomal RNA". It matches the Rfam family "Bacterial small subunit ribosomal RNA", at positions 509 to 809 of the family's 1533-position model. The record is from RNAcentral.